GGUGAUGUAUUUAAAGGAGAACUCUCAGAUAAAACUGUAGUCAUUAAGCAGUUGCAUCAUUAUAAUAUGCAACAGCCAUCACAGUUUUUUGAACAGGUGGAAAUUCUAGCUAAGUUACGUCAUCCUCAUCUGGUCACUUUACUUGGUGUAUGCCCAGGAUCUUGGUGCCUUGUUCAUGAAUAUUUUCCUGGCUUGAGCCUCCAAGAUCGCCUCUUCUGGAAAAAUAACACUCGUCCCAUGAAAUGGAAGAUGCGAGCACGAAUUCUUGCUGAAAUUGCGAGUGCACUUCUGUUUUUGCACUCUUCAUACCCUGAAAAAAUUGUACAUGGGGAUCUGAGGCCUGAGAAUGUGCUCAUUGAUUCUACGGGCAGCUGUAAAAUAUGUGAUGUCGGCAUAUCUAGUCUGAUACCUAAGCAAGCCCUACGAUGCCCGAGUUUCGAUCGUCUUAGUGAACCAAAGGGUCUGUUUGCCUACACUGAUCCUGAAUUUCAUGAAACUGGAGCUAUGACACCUAAAUCGGACAUUUAUGCUUUUGGACUUAUUAUCCUUCAAAUGCUCACUGGAAGAACUCUAACAGGACUAGUGAAUGAAGUACGCAGGGCAGUCUUAUAUGCACAAUUAGACUCUCUUUUGGAUUCAUCUGCUGGAGAAUGGUCUACAUUUGUGUCAAGGAGGUUAGCAGAACUGGCAUUGCAAUGCUGUGAAUUAAACAGUAGGGAUAGGCCUGAGCUGACAUCAUCUCUUGUAAUGGAGCUAAAGAACUUGAAUGAGUCUGAAGAACAAUCAGUGCCCUCCUUUUUCUUAUGUCCGAUUCGCCAGGACAUAAUGAAUGACCCCCAGGUUGCUGCAGACGGGUUCACAUAUGAAG
This 868-nucleotide unclassified non-coding RNA is filed under the name Hevea brasiliensis (rubber tree). Lineage: Eukaryota; Viridiplantae; Streptophyta; Magnoliopsida; Malpighiales; Euphorbiaceae. The record is from RNAcentral.